Unclassified non-coding RNA from Callithrix jacchus (white-tufted-ear marmoset), 300 nucleotides. It matches the Rfam family "Metazoan signal recognition particle RNA". Rfam says of the family: The signal recognition particle (SRP) is a universally conserved ribonucleoprotein. The record is from Ensembl. Lineage: Eukaryota; Metazoa; Chordata; Mammalia; Primates; Cebidae.
ACUAGGCAUGGUGGCGCGUGCCUGUAGUCCCAGCUACUUGGGAGGCUGAGGUGGGAGGAUCACUUGAGUGCAGGAGUUCUGGGCUGUAGCACGCUAUGCCAAUCGGGUGUCCACACUAAGUUCAGCAUCAAUAUGGUGACCUCCCAGGAGUGGGGGACCACCAGGUGGCCUAAGGAAGGGUAAACCAGUCCAGGUCGGAAAUGCAGCAGGUCAAAACUCCUGUGCUGAUCAGUAGCGGGAUCUCGCUUGUAAAUAGCCACUGCACUCCAGCCUGGGCAAUAUAGUGAGACAUCGUCUCUU